Molecule: ribosomal RNA, 491 nt
Filed under: uncultured bacterium
Lineage: Bacteria
Description: partial 16S ribosomal RNA
Rfam family: Bacterial small subunit ribosomal RNA
Source: RNAcentral
CGUGAACGCUGGCGGUAGGCCUAACACAUGCAAGUCGAACGGCAGCACAGUAAGAGCUUGCUCUUACGGGUGGCGAGUGGCGGACGGGUGAGGAAUACAUCGGAAUCUACUUUUUCGUGGGGGAUAACGUAGGGAAACUUACGCUAAUACCGCAUACGACCUACGGGUGAAAGCAGGGGAUCUUCGGACCUUGCGCGAUUGAAUGAGCCGAUGUCGGAUUAGCUAGUUGGCGGGGUAAAGGCCCACCAAGGCGACGAUCCGUAGCUGGUCUGAGAGGAUGAUCAGCCACACUGGAACUGAGACACGGUCCAGACUCCUACGGGAGGCAGCAGUGGGGAAUAUUGGACAAUGGGCGCAAGCCUGAUCCAGCCAUACCGCGUGGGUGAAGAAGGCCUUCGGGUUGUAAAGCCCUUUUGUUGGGAAAGAAAAGCAGCAGGUUAAUACCCCGCUGUUCUGACGGUACCCAAAGAAUAAGCACCGGCUAACUUCGU